Molecule: unclassified non-coding RNA, 298 nt
Filed under: uncultured fungus
Lineage: Eukaryota; Fungi
Also listed under: 1 other name
Description: partial contains 5.8S ribosomal RNA, internal transcribed spacer 2, and large subunit ribosomal RNA
Rfam family: 5.8S ribosomal RNA (bases 1-52)
Source: RNAcentral
AACGCACCUUGCGCUCCUUGGUAUUCCGAGGAGCAUGCCUGUUUGAGUGUCAUGGUAUUCUCAACCCUGCUACAUUUUUUGUAGCUGGGCUUGGACUUGGAGGUAUUGCCGGUGUUCUCUUUUGAACGCGGGCUCCUCUGAAAUGCAUUAGCUGGAAUGUUACCGAGCAUGAUUCAAUGUGAUAAUUGUCUACGUUGCUUCAACUUGGUAUUAAUUCUGUUUCAGCUUCUAACCGUCCGCAAGGACAAUAUCUUGAACAUCUGACCUCAAAUCAGGUAGGACUACCCGCUGAACUUAA